CCUACGGGAGGCAGCAGUAGGGAAUAUUGGUCAAUGGGUGAGAGCCUGAACCAGCCAUGCCGCGUGCAGGAAGAAGGCCUUCUGGGUUGUAAACUGCUUUCGCCAGGGGAUAAAAAUACCUUGCGAGGUAAAUUGAAGGUACCUGGUGAAUAAGCCACGGCUAACUACGUGCCAGCAGCCGCGGUAAUACGUAGGUGGCAAGCGUUGUCCGGAUUUAUUGGGUUUAAAGGGUGCGUAGGCGGCCCUGUAAGUCAGUGCUGAAAUAUCCCAGCUUAACUGGGAGGGUGGCAUUGAUACUGCGGGGCUAGAGUACAGAUGAGGUAGGCGGAAUUGACGGUGUAGCGGUGAAAUGCUUAGAUAUCGUCAAGAACACCUAUAGCGAAGGCAGCUUACUAGGCUGUAACUGACGCUGAGGCACGAAAGUGUGGGGAUCAAACAGGAUUAGAUACCCUGGUAGUCCACACUGUAAGCGUUGAUUACUCGCUGUGUGCGAUAUACAGUACGCGGCCAAGCGAAAGCGCUAAGUAAUCCACCUGGGGAGUACGCCGGCAACGGUGAAACUCAAAGGAAUUGACGG
This 577-nucleotide ribosomal RNA is filed under the name uncultured bacterium. RNAcentral describes it as "bacterial SSU rRNA". It matches the Rfam family "Bacterial small subunit ribosomal RNA", at positions 338 to 916 of the family's 1533-position model. The record is from RNAcentral.